GCAGGGAAUCUUGCACAAUGGGCGAAAGCCUGAUGCAGCGACGCCGCGUGAGGGAUGAAGGCUCUAGGGUUGUAAACCUCUUUUCUCAGGGAAGAGUAAGGACGGUACCUGAGGAAUAAGCCACGGCUAACUACGUGCCAGCAGCCGCGGUAAUACGUAGGUGGCGAGCGUUGUCCGGAAUUACUGGGCGUAAAGGGUCCGUAGGCGGCCUGGAAAGUCCUUUGUGAAAUCUCCCGGCUUAACUGGGAGAGGUCGAGGGAUACUUCCAGGCUUGAGGACGUCAGAGGGAGACGGAAUUCCCGGUGUAGUGGUGGUAUGCGUAGAUAUCGGGAGGAACACCAGUGGCGAAGGCGGUCUCCUGGGGCGCUCCUGACGCUGAGGGACGAAAGCGUGGGUAGCAAACCGG
This 406-nucleotide ribosomal RNA is filed under the name uncultured bacterium. RNAcentral's name for it is "bacterial SSU rRNA". It matches the Rfam family "Bacterial small subunit ribosomal RNA", at positions 354 to 776 of the family's 1533-position model. The record is from RNAcentral.